This 228-nucleotide long non-coding RNA is filed under the name Capsicum annuum. RNAcentral describes it as "long non-coding RNA (CANN_LNC001709)". The record is from RNAcentral. Lineage: Eukaryota; Viridiplantae; Streptophyta; Magnoliopsida; Solanales; Solanaceae.
UUUUCCAAUGAGUUUAAUACUUCCAGGUAUGGAAUUUAAUCCGUAAAAAUAUUUUAAAGGCAUUAUUCACUUAAUUUUCCCCCCAAAUCCAAGCAUUCUUCUUAAGGAAAUAAACCCUAGCUUCAAGAAUCAAGGUCAAAACUCAAGAAUUUAUUCAAGCACCUUCAAGAAUUAAUAACCAAAGGUAUGUUAGGUGUUUAUCUAUGGGUCCCUUUCACCCAUAGAGUC